Molecule: ribosomal RNA, 495 nt
Filed under: uncultured bacterium
Lineage: Bacteria
Description: partial 16S ribosomal RNA
Rfam family: Bacterial small subunit ribosomal RNA
Source: RNAcentral
GACGAACGCUGGCGGCGUGCCUAAUACAUGCAAGUAGAACGCUGAAGGAGGAGCUUGCUCUUCUGGAUGAGUUGCGAACGGGUGAGUAACGCGUAGGUAACCUGCCUGGUAGCGGGGGAUAACUAUUGGAAACGAUAGCUAAUACCGCAUAACAGUAGAUGUUGCAUGACAUUUGCUUAAAAGGUGCAAUUGCAUCACUACCAGAUGGACCUGCGUUGUAUUAGCUAGUUGGUGGGGUAACGGCUCACCAAGGCGACGAUACAUAGCCGACCUGAGAGGGUGAUCGGCCACACUGGGACUGAGACACGGCCCAGACUCCUACGGGAGGGAGCAGUAGGGAAUCUUCGGCAAUGGACGGAAGUCUGACCGAGCAACGCCGCGUGAGUGAAGAAGGUUUUCGGAUCGUAAAGCUCUGUUGUAAGAGAAGAACGAGUGUGAGAGUGGAAAGUUCACACUGUGACGGUAUCUGACCAGAAAGGGACGGCUAACUACGUG